Molecule: non-coding RNA, 37 nt
Organism: Desertifilum sp.
Lineage: Bacteria; Bacillati; Cyanobacteriota; Cyanophyceae; Desertifilales; Desertifilaceae
Source: Rfam
AUUGCAAUUACUCCUAAUCCCUAUUAGGGAUUGAAAC